Molecule: non-coding RNA, 2287 nt
Organism: Benincasa hispida (wax gourd)
Lineage: Eukaryota; Viridiplantae; Streptophyta; Magnoliopsida; Cucurbitales; Cucurbitaceae
Source: RefSeq, a predicted model, not a curated record
UUUCAGAAUGUGAGGCAAUGUCUUGACACUAUGUACUUCGAUGGAGAAGACGAACGUGCGAAGCGCUAGUGCGUUGCGCUUUGAUAAGGGGAGUCCUCUGCCCUCUAGCAUCACAGCGGCUGCACGAUUCUUUAAAUAUAAAUUUUUACCGUUUCGGAUUACACCAUUUUUCCAUUUCCAACUCUGUUUUUUUUUUCUUCUUCACUGUAAACUCUUUAUUUUACUGAAUUAGGUCACCAUCAAGCUUAAUUUCCUUGUAUUUCGUGAAGAUUGGAGGAUAGAUAAGCCAGAAAGAGAGGAGACUCAGACGAGAAACGAAGGAGCGAAGAGCUCAAAACAAAGAACUCCGUGAAAAAGGCACAUCUGACGAAGAAGAAGAGAUGAUGGCGUAGUCAGAGGAGCGUAUUCCUCGGGAAUUAGUGCCCUCUAACCUGUCUCAACAAUCAAUUUGCAUCACGUGUCCAAAGACUAUAGAAGAGCAACUAAAUAUGAGGGAAAUCCUCUUUUCGCUGAAGGAUGAUGCGAAAGAUGGGCUCUACUACUUGCCAUUUGGGAGCAUCACAAAGGUACGUUAAUAAGUUCUUCCCUGCGUCAUAGGCCACAAGGGUCAGAAAGGAGAUUUACAGCAUCCUUCAGUGUCUGGAAGAGUGGCUGUACAAGUAGGAGGAGAGUUUCAAGCACCUCUAUGUUGGGUUUUCUCACCACCAGAUCUCAUAUCAAUUUCUCAUUUAGUACUACUAUGAGGGGUCGUUAUAGUAGGACAAGAUUAACAUUGAUGCAGUUGCCAACGAAGCUAUGGGGAACAAGACUCCUACGGAGGCUAAAGAGAUGAUUUACCUUGAUGGCAGAGGAUGCGCAACAGUGUGGAAGAAGAAACCGCAUCAAUCAACCUGUUUCUUAAGAGGUAAUUGAGCUCAAACCUGAAAUUGUUGAACUAACUACAUUGGUUAAACAGGCUUGUUUGGCAAAGGCACAAGCCAGGAGCCAAACUAUGGUGGAAACUAGCAAGAAGCUCAGGAGUACCCCUGGAGAACGUGGUUCAAAGCUUGGCAGAUUCGACCUUGAAGCUUAAGUACAACCAAGAGACGUUCCAACAAACAACUACCAUCCACAUGCAGAGUAUGGCCACUUAGAUCUCCAAGUUAGCCAGCGCCAAUAAUAGAUUGGAUACUCAAUACAGGAAGCUUCCUUUCCAGCGUAACAUGCGUAAUGUCAGUGAGAUAAUGGUAGUGAGCUAUAAUGAGGUUUCCUACCCUCCUAUUUCUGAACUAGUGAAUGAGCCAGUAGAGUUCAAACAAGAAGAUGUUGAGGAAAAGUCUAAAAGACAAACUAGAAGAUGUGGGUAAGUUUCGAUCCACCUUUUAAUUUGAAUGCUUACAUUUCUCGUGAUCAUUUUUCCAGCAGGUUGACUAUUGUUCAGGGAGGUCCGGAGAAAGUGUUUUCGGUUGUGUCUUUAGAGAAAGACAAAAACCCAACAACAAAUGGCAAGUGAACGUGGGGUGAAGGUUGAAGACAAGCCAAAAGGAUGAAAGACUUUAAUCAUCCGUCCAAGUAACCUGGUAACCAAAUGUGAUGAUCUAGGAUGACAAUAUGAAACUUGGUCUCAAUCCCGAGUGAGUUAUGGACUCCUACCUUUGAGAGUUUGUCCUCUGUAUGGGUAGAAGUGGCCCGAGUCAUCAACUCAAUAAACAUACUAUUUUGGGGAAUGGACAGAGUGAAGAGCUGGGAACAUAAUUACACAAGAUGGAAUUCACUCCAACUUUAGGAUAAUUGAGCAACUAAGAGACAAUAUGGACAAAAAUGAGUCUAAACAGAGCCUGGAAACAUCAACCAUGAGAAGAAGAAGAAUAAUGACCGAGUCUGCCCCUUGGCUUAGUGCAGUCGCGCUUGCUAUGCGUUGUGCUCAACGCUCGAACACAGUAGUAUGAAAAUCAGGAAGCAUUGCGACACUACUUGGAGUGUCGUGGCGCUCCGGAUAUUGAUGAGCAUGACAGGGCAUGCAUGCGCUUGAGUGCACUGGCCCGAGUGUAGUAGCUCUUGAAGUAGGUACUACGAUAUGGCCUAGAGUGUAGUUGCGCUCUCCCUAACCGCAACGGCACUCGACUACUUUUGUAUAAGCAUUUUGAGCCAAAUUAGAUUGAUCCAUCUUAAUUUUAGAAGCCUCCACACAAAUUUACUCUAUAUUCCUCACCUCCCAACAUUUACCCUUAUACCUUUCAUUAAUUUUGCAUAUUGUGGCUCAGUUUAGCACAUUAUGAGUGGCUACGGUAAUUGAUUUCUAGCUUAG